This 65-nucleotide transfer RNA is filed under the name Dipodomys ordii (Ord's kangaroo rat). It matches the Rfam family "tRNA". From Rfam's summary of the family: Transfer RNA (tRNA) molecules are approximately 80 nucleotides in length. Their secondary structure includes four short double-helical elements and three loops (D, anti-codon, and T loops). Lineage: Eukaryota; Metazoa; Chordata; Mammalia; Rodentia; Heteromyidae. The record is from Rfam by way of RNAcentral.
GGUGGCUCAGUGGUAGAGCGCUUGCCUUGCAAGCACGAGGCCCUGGGUUCAAUUCCUCAGCACCA